GCUCAGAUUGAACGCUGGCGGCAGGCCUAACACAUGCAAGUCGAGCGGUAGCACAGAGAGCUUGCUCUCGGGUGACGAGCGGCGGACGGGUGAGUAAUGUCUGGGAAACUGCCUGAUGGAGGGGGAUAACUACUGGAAACGGUAGCUAAUACCGCAUAACGUCGCAAGACCAAAGUGGGGGACCUUCGGGCCUCAUGCCAUCAGAUGUGCCCAGAUGGGAUUAGCUGGUAGGUGGGGUAACGGCUCACCUAGGCGACGAUCCCUAGCUGGUCUGAGAGGAUGACCAGCCACACUGGAACUGAGACACGGUCCAGACUCCUACGGGAGGCAGCAGUGGGGAAUAUUGCACAAUGGGCGCAAGCCUGAUGCAGCCAUGCCGCGUGUGUGAAGAAGGCCUUCGGGUUGUAAAGCACUUUCAGCGGGGAGGAAGGCGAUAAGGUUAAUAACCUUGUCGAUUGACGUUACCCGCAGAAGAAGCACCGGCUAACUCCGUGCCAGCAGCCGCGGUAAUACGGAGGGUGCAAGCGUUAAUCGGAAUUACUGGGCGUAAAGCGCACGCAGGCGGUCUGUCAAGUCGGAUGUGAAAUCCCCGGGCUCAACCUGGGAACUGCAUUCGAAACUGGCAGGCUAGAGUCUUGUAGAGGGGGGUAGAAUUCCAGGUGUAGCGGUGAAAUGCGUAGAGAUCUGGAGGAAUACCGGUGGCGAAGGCGGCCCCCUGGCAGGUGCGAAAGCGUGGGGAGCAAACAGGAUUAGAUACCCUGGUAGUCCACGCUGUAAACGAUGUCGAUUUGGAGGUUGUGCCCUUGAGGCGUGGCUUCCGGAGCUAACGCGUUAAAUCGACCGCCUGGGGAGUACGGCCGCAAGGUUAAAACUCAAAUGAAUUGACGGGGGCCCGCACAAGCGGUGGAGCAUGUGGUUUAAUUCGAUGCAACGCGAAGAACCUUACCUGGUCUUGACAUCCACAGAACUUUCCAGAGAUGGAUUGGUGCCUUCGGGAACUGUGAGACAGGUGCUGCAUGGCUGUCGUCAGCUCGUGUUGUGAAAUGUUGGGUUAAGUCCCGCAACGAGCGCAACCCUUAUCCUUUGUUGCCAGCGGUUAGGCCGGGAACUCAAAGGAGACUGCCAGUGAUAAACUGGAGGAAGGUGGGGAUGACGUCAAGUCAUCAUGGCCCUUACGACCAGGGCUACACACGUGCUACAAUGGCAUAUACAAAGAGAAGCGACCUCGCGAGAGCAAGCGGACCUCAUAAAGUAUGUCGUAGUCCGGAUUGGAGUCUGCAACUCGACUCCAUGAAGUCGGAAUCGCUAGUAAUCGUAGAUCAGAAUGCUACGGUGAAUACGUUCCCGGGCCUUGUACACACCGCCCGUCACACCAUGGGAGUGGGUUGCAAAAGAAGUAGGUAGCUUAACCUUCGGGAGGGCGCUUACCACUUUGUGAUUCAUGACUGGGGUGAAGU
RNAcentral lists this ribosomal RNA (1457 nucleotides) under Klebsiella variicola. RNAcentral describes it as "bacterial SSU rRNA". It matches the Rfam family "Bacterial small subunit ribosomal RNA". Lineage: Bacteria; Pseudomonadati; Pseudomonadota; Gammaproteobacteria; Enterobacterales; Enterobacteriaceae. The record is from RNAcentral.